This 174-nucleotide ribosomal RNA is filed under the name uncultured Geobacter sp. RNAcentral describes it as "partial 16S ribosomal RNA". It matches the Rfam family "Bacterial small subunit ribosomal RNA", at positions 67 to 228 of the family's 1533-position model. The record is from RNAcentral. Lineage: Bacteria; Pseudomonadati; Thermodesulfobacteriota; Desulfuromonadia; Geobacterales; Geobacteraceae.
CGUGAUCCGCCCUUCGGGGUGGUGAAAGUGGCGCACGGGUGAGUAACGCGUGGAUAAUCUGCCCGAGGAUUUGGGAUAACAUCUCGAAAGGGGUGCUAAUACCGAAUAAGCCCACGGGGUCUACGGAUCUUGCGGGAAAAGGGGGGGACCUUCGGGCCUCCUGUCCUUGGAUGA